GAUGAACGCUGGCGGCGUGCCUAACACAUGCAAGUCGAACGGAAAGGCCCUGCUUGCAGGGUACUGGAGUUGCCAACGGGCGAGUAACACGUGGGUGAUUUGCCCUCCACUUCGAGAUAAGCUUGUGAGACUGGGCCUAGUACCUGCCAGGUACUAUCUUGAGCCUGGUGGUUCGAAAGUGUUUUCGGUGUUGGGUGAGCUCGGGGCGUAUCCGCGUGUUGGUGGAGUAAUUGCCUACCAUGGCGGCGACGGGUAGCCGGCCUGAGAGGGUGUACGGCCACAUUGGGCCUGAGAGACGGCCAAGAGUCCUACGGGUGGCAGAAGGGGGGAAUAUUGCACAAUGGGCGCACGCCUGAUGCAGGGAGGCCGCGGGGGGGAUAAAGGCCUUCGGGUUGUAAACUCAUUUCGCUAGGGACGAAGCUUUUUGUGACGGUACCUAAAUAAGAAGCACCGGCUAACUACGUG
RNAcentral lists this ribosomal RNA (465 nucleotides) under uncultured bacterium. RNAcentral describes it as "partial 16S ribosomal RNA". It matches the Rfam family "Bacterial small subunit ribosomal RNA", at positions 28 to 507 of the family's 1533-position model. The record is from RNAcentral.